UACGUAAGGCCCGAGCGUUGUCCGGUUUCAUUGGGCGUAAAGGGUACGUAGGCGGUCUAGUGAGUUAGAAGUGAAAGGCAAUAGCUCAACUAUUGUAAGCUUUUAAAACUGCUAGACUUGAGAGAGUGAAGGGAAAGUGGAAUUCCUAGUGUAGCGGUGAAAUGCGCAGAUAUUAGGAGGAAUACCAGUGGCGAAGGCGACUUUCUGGCAAUCAUCAGACGCUGAGGUACGAAAGCGUGGGUAGCAAACAGG
RNAcentral lists this ribosomal RNA (252 nucleotides) under uncultured bacterium. Its description in RNAcentral is "partial 16S ribosomal RNA". It matches the Rfam family "Bacterial small subunit ribosomal RNA", at positions 524 to 776 of the family's 1533-position model. The record is from RNAcentral.